UUUGGGACAGUGUCUACGCGCUUCGACCUGCUUUCAAUCAGGCUACUUUCUUCUACCUUUAUUUUUAAUUUAAUAUUAGUAGAUUGGUAGGAUUUGAAAUUCUAUGAUAUAAACUUAUUAAAUGCAUAGAUUUACUUUGUGCUAGAAUAGAUUUAUUUUGUAUUAAAAUAGAAUUAUUUGGAUGCCGAAUGAUAUGCAUGUAUAUUAUUUCCUUUAAGUUUUUUUUAUUAAUUGAAUUUAUAGA
RNAcentral lists this long non-coding RNA (244 nucleotides) under Phoenix dactylifera (date palm). Its description in RNAcentral is "long non-coding RNA (PDAC_LNC007831)". Lineage: Eukaryota; Viridiplantae; Streptophyta; Magnoliopsida; Arecales; Arecaceae. The record is from RNAcentral.